Long non-coding RNA from Magnolia sinica, 714 nucleotides. RefSeq lists it as uncharacterized. Lineage: Eukaryota; Viridiplantae; Streptophyta; Magnoliopsida; Magnoliales; Magnoliaceae. The record is from RefSeq and is a predicted model, not a curated record. The transcript has 4 exons.
UAUUGUAAUUUCUUUGCUGAUGUGGCUUUCCUCGAGCAUUGGGUGGACCAAGAUGGACAUUACUGCUGCUAGAAAAUCGACUGAACCUCACCUUGAGUUGUUCCAGUUGUUAUCAUUAGCACACCACAUAGAUUACACUUCUAAGGGAUAUAUCCAUCAUCAUUGGCAUUUGUGUCUUGUCUUCACUUUCAAAAUCUCGGACGCCUUUCCCGGUCUCUUCUAAACAUCAAAUCGCAAGCAUCCUUCUCGCAGAUAACAGUGGAACUUGAAGAACUGCAAGAGGUUCAGAGGUUGAAGCCAUGCUGCAUAAGACGAUCUGUGCCAUGUCGAAUGUGUUCAUUGGGUCAUCAGGCUCGACAGUCGCUGAGGACAUAUUCCGGCUCCGGGGACUGGGGAUCAGCUUUGGUUUGUGAUGAGUAUAUGUGGCAAGGUUUUGGACCGUGGUGAGAAGAUUGGGCUUCUGGUAGACAAAACAGAGAACCUCCGCUCACAGGUGGUGAACCUCAAUAUCAUUGAGGGCCUGAACCUGCUAAAGGAUCCGAAAUACUGGUGCUGAUGCCUUUUACUGCUACACAGCUCACCAAAGAUCUACGGAAGAAACGAGUCCCUUGGAAACAAUGGCAAUCAUUGGCAACAAGGAGAUCAUUGACAUUAACCAAGGUAUGUUAGUUGCUUAGACUGGUGUUAAAAAAAAAAAAAAAAAACCAGGAUGCA